RNAcentral lists this ribosomal RNA (434 nucleotides) under uncultured bacterium. RNAcentral's name for it is "bacterial SSU rRNA". It matches the Rfam family "Bacterial small subunit ribosomal RNA", at positions 42 to 473 of the family's 1533-position model. The record is from RNAcentral.
UCAGGCCUAACACAUGCAAGUCGAGGGAGAAUGUUGGAUUCGUCUGACAUGAAACCGGCGCACGGGUGCGUAACACGUAUGCAACCUACCUUUAACUGGGGUAUAGCUCAGAGAAAUCUGAAUUAAUCCCCCAUAAGACUACGACAUGGCAUCAUGAUGUAGUUAAAGCUCCGGCGGUUAAGGAUGGGCAUGCGGUACAUUAGCUAGUUGGUGAGGUAAUGGCUCACCAAGGCUACGAUGUAUAGGGGGUCUGAGAGGAUGAUCCCCCACACUGGUACUGAGACACGGACCAGACUCCUACGGGAGGCAGCAGUAGGGAAUAUUGGUCAAUGGACGCAAGUCUGAACCAGCCAUGCCGUGUGAAGGAUGAAGGCCCUAUGGGUCGUAAACUUCUUUUAUUAGGGAAGAAAAAACGGGAUGCGUCCUGUACUGAC